GAUGAACGCUAGCUACAGGCUUAACACAUGCAAGUCGUGGGGCAUCAUGAUGUAGUAAUACAUUGAUGGCGACCGGCGCACGGGUGAGUAACGCGUAUCCAACCUACCCUCCACUCAUGUAUAGGCUUCCGAAAGGGAGAUUAAUCCUUGAUAUCGUCAUUCUCUCUCCUGUUAGAAUGAUAAAAGGACAUCGUUUCGGUAGAGGAUGGGGAUGCGUUCCAUUAGGUAGUAGGCGGUUUAACAGGCCACCUAGCCGAUGAUGGAUAGGGGUUCUGAGAGGAAUAUCCCCCACACUGGUACUGAGAUACGGACCAGACUCCUACGGGAGGCAGCAGUGAGGAAUAUUGGUCAAUGGGCGCAAGCCUGAAACCAGCCAUGUAGCGUGAAGGAUGACGGUUUUUUUGAUUGUAA
RNAcentral lists this ribosomal RNA (411 nucleotides) under Bacteroidetes bacterium oral taxon 272. RNAcentral's name for it is "bacterial SSU rRNA". It matches the Rfam family "Bacterial small subunit ribosomal RNA", at positions 28 to 428 of the family's 1533-position model. Lineage: Bacteria; Pseudomonadati; Bacteroidota. The record is from RNAcentral.